This 478-nucleotide ribosomal RNA is filed under the name uncultured Planctomycetales bacterium. Its description in RNAcentral is "bacterial SSU rRNA". It matches the Rfam family "Bacterial small subunit ribosomal RNA", at positions 364 to 832 of the family's 1533-position model. Lineage: Bacteria; Pseudomonadati; Planctomycetota; Planctomycetia; Planctomycetales. The record is from RNAcentral.
UUUCGCAAUGCCCGAAAGGGUGACGAAGCGACGCCGCGUGGGUGAGGAAGGCCUUCGGGUUGUAAAGCCCUGUCAGGAGUUAAGAAAUGUAGGUACGCUAAUAUCGUGCUUAUUUGACAAAGGCUCCAAAGGAAGCCACGGCUAACUCUGUGCCAGCAGCCGCGGUAAUACAGAGGUGGCAAGCGUUGUUCGGAAUUAUUGGGCGUAAAGAGCACGUAGGUGGGUUUGUAAGUCAGAUGUGAAAGCCUUCUGUUCAACGGAAGAAUUGCAUCUGAAACUGCGAGUCUUGAGUGUAGGAGGGGAGAAUGGAACUUCUGGUGGAGCGGUGAAAUGCGUAGAUAUCAGAAGGAACGCCGGCGGCGAAAGCGAUUCUCUGGCCUAUUACUGACACUCAGUGUGCGAAAGCUAGGGGAGCAAACGGGAUUAGAUACCCCGGUAGUCCUAGCCGUAAACGAUGGGCACUAAGUAGAGGGGUUUU